This 501-nucleotide ribosomal RNA is filed under the name uncultured bacterium. RNAcentral describes it as "partial 16S ribosomal RNA". It matches the Rfam family "Bacterial small subunit ribosomal RNA", at positions 30 to 523 of the family's 1533-position model. The record is from RNAcentral.
AUUGAACGCUGGCGGCAGGCUUAACACAUGCAAGUCGAGCGGAGAUGAGGUGCUUGCACCUUAUCUUAGCGGCGGACGGGUGAGUAAUACUUAGGAAUCUGCCUAUUAGUGGGGGACAACAUUCCGAAAGGAAUGCUAAUACCGCAUACGUCCUACGGGCGAAAGCAGGGGAUCUUCGGACCUUGCGCUAAUAGAUGAGCCUAAGUCGGAUUAGCUAGUUGGUGGGGUAAAGGCCUACCAAGGCGACGAUCUGUAGCGGGUCUGAGAGGAUGGUCCGCCACACUGGGACUGAGACACGGCCCAGACUCCUACGGGAGGCAGCAGUGGGGAAUAUUGGACAAUGGGGGAAACCCUGAUCCAGCCAUGCCGCGUGUGUGAAGAAGGCCUUAUGGUUGUAAAGCACUUUAAGCGAGGAGGAGGCUACUGAGACUAAUACUCUUGGAUAGUGGGCGUUACUCGCAGAAUAAGCACCGGCUAACUCUGUGCCAGCCGCCGCGGUAA